AAAAAAUAAAAAAGUAACAAAAUUUGUGAAAACUAUGCAUCAUUUUGAAUUAGCUACUCAACCUUUCAAAAUUCAAUUCGUCUGAUUUGAGUUAGUCAAUGUAUUUUAAUUUUAAAUUUUAAAUUAAUUUUUAUUUUAAUAAAUUUAUAGUUGCGAGAAUUGCGUAAAUUAUACAAAUUAAACAUGUAAAGAUAAAUAAUACAUUCAAUUUUUGAAAUCAAAAUAUUGUUCAUUGAUUCAAAUCAAAUAAAUUGAAAAGUUGGAUAGUAAAAUCAAAAUUUUGAAAGGUUGGAUAGCCGAAUCAAAAUGGUCCAUAGUUUAGAUAAGUUCUAUACAUUUUUAUUUUUUUAAAUAUAAUUAUCUAUAUACCCCUCAGAACUUCUGAAAUAUCUUAUAUACCUUUUUUUUGUUUCAAAUAAACCCUAUGUAUAUUUCUCCGUUAUUCAAAAAUAACUUCAUUGUUAGUAUCAAUUAAGUUAUCUCAUGUUAAAUCCAAUUUAAAUUUCUAUUAAAGUUAAAAAAAUCAAAAUAUCUUUUUUGUCCCUAUCUUAAGGGCAAAUAAAAAAAUUGAUGAUCAUAAAAGAGUAUAUUUGAAAGGGCAAAGUAGUAAUUUUAUAGAGAUAACGACUAUUGAAUCUAACUCUUGUGAUAUAUUUGAAAAAAUUUGAAACAUAAAAAAAUAUUUUUUUGUAUUAGCCCUCUAAGCAGGGUAAAUAAAAAGUCUAAAAUUUUUAGCAGUGUAUAAGCAGUUGCUCCCCAAAAAAAAGGGGUAAAGUAGAGA
This 781-nucleotide long non-coding RNA is filed under the name Ananas comosus (pineapple). RNAcentral's name for it is "long non-coding RNA (ACOM_LNC026337)". Lineage: Eukaryota; Viridiplantae; Streptophyta; Magnoliopsida; Poales; Bromeliaceae. The record is from RNAcentral.